UAAAUUUGGGGCAUGGAUCUUGCUGUUCUCGAUGUGAAAAGAUUUAGAAGGUUAUUUAUUUUACUGUUACAUAAGUAUUUAUAAUAGCUUUUUGGUAGUGAAACGUUAUUCGGUUUUCGGGGUAUCUAGUUAUUCAGGAAAUAAAUUUAAUUUUGCCAGCUUUAUAUUAAGACCAAUUUAUUGGUUUAGUUGUGUUGCUGAGUAAUACUUAAGGGGAUAAGCUUUUAAGUAGAAUUCUAUAAUUUUUUAUGUUUACAAUUAAUCGUAGGAUUAGAAGUUUCCAUCGAUAAUAUGGUGUUAUAACAGUUUUUUGUUUUAUUUGAUUUAAAUUAAAUUUAGGUUGUUUACUGAAUUAAUUUGUUUAAUUUUAGUUCUUUUGCAAUAAUGAUGGAAUUAGUAUAUUAUAAUGUAUAAUUAAUUGUAUGUGUUAGAUUAUUUUAAGGAACUCGGCAAAUAUUUUUUCGCCUGUUUAUUAAAAACAUGUCCUUUUGAUGAUGAUUUAAGGUCUGGCCUGCCCACUGAUGAAAUUUAAAGGCCGCGGUAUUUUGACCGUGCAAAGGUAGCAUAAUAAUUAGUUUUUUAAUUGGAAGCUGGAAUGAAUGGUCGGACGAGAAAAAUACUGUCUCAAAUUAAUUAGUAGAAUUUUAUCUUUGAGUUAAAAAGCUCAAAUGGUUUUAAAAGACGAGAAGACCCUAUAGAGUUUUAUAUUUGUUUGGUUAUUUAUGUUUUGGUAAUAUUAAUUAAAUUGUUAGGCAAGUAUUUUGUUGGGGCGACAGAAAAAUUGACUUAACUUUUUCUUUAUUAUUACAUUAAUUUAUGGUUAGUUGAUCCGUUUUUUACGAUUAUAAGAUUAAAUUACCUUAGGGAUAACAGCGUUAUUCCUUUUGAGAGUUCUUAUCGAAAAAGGAGUUUGCGACCUCGAUGUUGGAUUAAAAUUUACUGUUGGUGCAGUAGCUGAUAGGUUAGGUCUGUUCGACCUUUAAAAUUUU
RNAcentral lists this ribosomal RNA (989 nucleotides) under Lamprima insularis. RNAcentral describes it as "partial 16S ribosomal RNA". The stretch from base 866 to 989 matches the Rfam family "Archaeal large subunit ribosomal RNA", at positions 2542 to 2666 of the family's 2987-position model. Lineage: Eukaryota; Metazoa; Arthropoda; Insecta; Coleoptera; Lucanidae. The record is from RNAcentral.